RNAcentral lists this ribosomal RNA (429 nucleotides) under Gemmatimonadota bacterium. RNAcentral's name for it is "Gemmatimonadetes bacterium partial 16S ribosomal RNA". It matches the Rfam family "Bacterial small subunit ribosomal RNA", at positions 355 to 776 of the family's 1533-position model. Lineage: Bacteria; Pseudomonadati; Gemmatimonadota. The record is from RNAcentral.
UAGGGAAUCUUCGGCAAUGGACGAAAGUCUGACCGAGCAACGCCGCGUGAGUGAAGAAGGUUUUCGGAUCGUAAAACUCUGUUGUUAGAGAAGAACAAGGACGUUAGUAACUGAACGUCCCCUGACGGUAUCUAACCAGAAAGCCACGGCUAACUACGUGCCAGCAGCCGCGGUAAUACGUAGGUGGCAAGCGUUGUCCGGAUGUAUUGGGCGUAAAGCGAGCGCAGGCGGUUUCUUAAGUCUGAUGUGAAAGCCCCCGGCUCAACCGGGGAGGGUCAUUGGAAACUGGGAGACUUGAGUGCAGAAGAGGAGAGUGGAAUUCCAGGUGUAGCGGUGAAAUGCAUAGAUAGAUGGAGGAACACCAGUGACGAAGGCGGCUCUCUGGUCUGUAGCUGACGCUGAGACUAGAGGGCGUGGGGAGCAAACAGG